AUACGUAGGGGGCGAGCGUUGUCCGGAAUGAUUGGGCGUAAAGGGCGCGUAGGCGGCCCGGUAAGUCUGGAGUGAAAGUCCUGUUUUUAAGAUGGGAAUUGCUUUGGAUACUGUCGGGCUUGAGUGCAGGAGAGGUAAGUGGAAUUCCCAGUGUAGCGGUGAAAUGCGUAGAGAUUGGGAGGAGCACCAGUGGCGAAGGCGACGUGCUGGACUGGAAGUGACGCUGAGGCGGGGAAGUGUGGGGAGCAGACAGGAGUAGAUGCCCGGGUAGUCCACGCUGUAGGCGAGGAAUGCUAGGUGGAGGGGGUAUCGACCCCUUGUGUGCCGCAGGCAACAGAAUAAGCAUUCCGGCUGGGGAGGACGGCCGCAAGGUGGAAGCUCAAAUGAAUGGACGGGG
Molecule: ribosomal RNA, 397 nt
Filed under: uncultured bacterium
Lineage: Bacteria
Description: partial 16S ribosomal RNA
Rfam family: Bacterial small subunit ribosomal RNA
Source: RNAcentral